UCCUAAUUUGGCUAGCGUUGUUCGGAUUUACUGGGCGUAAAGCGCACGUAGGCGGAUAUUUAAGUCAGAGGUGAAAUCCCAGGGCUCAACCCUGGAACUGCCUUUGAUACUGGAUGUCUUGAGUAUGGAAGAGGUGAGUGGAAUUCCGAGUGUAGAGGUAAAAUUCGUAGAUAUUCGGAGGAACACCAGUGGCGAAGGCGGCUCACUGGUCCAUUACUGACGCUGAGGUGCGAAAGCGUGGGGAGCAAACA
RNAcentral lists this ribosomal RNA (251 nucleotides) under uncultured Bartonella sp. RNAcentral describes it as "partial 16S ribosomal RNA". It matches the Rfam family "Bacterial small subunit ribosomal RNA", at positions 524 to 774 of the family's 1533-position model. The record is from RNAcentral. Lineage: Bacteria; Pseudomonadati; Pseudomonadota; Alphaproteobacteria; Hyphomicrobiales; Bartonellaceae.